This 465-nucleotide ribosomal RNA is filed under the name Vreelandella stevensii. RNAcentral's name for it is "partial 16S ribosomal RNA". It matches the Rfam family "Bacterial small subunit ribosomal RNA", at positions 338 to 795 of the family's 1533-position model. The record is from RNAcentral. Lineage: Bacteria; Pseudomonadati; Pseudomonadota; Gammaproteobacteria; Oceanospirillales; Halomonadaceae.
CCUACGGGAGGCAGCAGUGGGGAAUAUUGGACAAUGGGGGCAACCCUGAUCCAGCCAUGCCGCGUGUGUGAAGAAGGCCCUCGGGUUGUAAAGCACUUUCAGUGAGGAAGAACGCCUUGUGGUUAAUACCCAUCAGGAAAGACAUCACUCACAGAAGAAGCACCGGCUAACUCCGUGCCAGCAGCCGCGGUAAUACGGAGGGUGCGAGCGUUAAUCGGAAUUACUGGGCGUAAAGCGCGCGUAGGUGGCUUGAUAAGCCGGUUGUGAAAGCCCCGGGCUCAACCUGGGAACGGCAUCCGGAACUGUCAAGCUAGAGUGCAGGAGAGGAAGGUAGAAUUCCCGGUGUAGCGGUGAAAUGCGUAGAGAUCGGGAGGAAUACCAGUGGCGAAGGCGGCCUUCUGGACUGACACUGACACUGAGGUGCGAAAGCGUGGGUAGCAAACAGGAUUAGAUACCCUAGUAGUC